CGCUAGCUACAGGCUUAACACAUGCAAGUUGAGGGGCAGCAUGGUCUUAGCUUGCUAAGGCCGAUGGCGACCGGCGCACGGGUGAGUAACACGUAUCCAACCUGCCGUCUACUCUUGGACAGCCUUCUGAAAGGAAGAUUAAUACAAGAUGGCAUCAUGAGUCCGCAUGUUCACAUGAUUAAAGGUAUUCCGGUAGACGAUGGGGAUGCGUUCCAUUAGAUAGUAGGCGGGGUAACGGCCCACCUAGUCUUCGAUGGAUAGGGGUUCUGAGAGGAAGGUCCCCCACAUUGGAACUGAGACACGGUCCAAACUCCUACGGGAGGCAGCAGUGAGGAAUAUUGGUCAAUGGGCGAGAGCCUGAACCAGCCAAGUAGCGUGAAGGAUGACUGCCCUAUGGGUUGUAAACUUCUUUUAUAAAGGAAUAAAGUCGGGUAUGCAUACCCGUUUGCAUGUACUUUAUGAAUAAGGAUCGGCUAACUCCGUGCCAGCAGCCGCGGUAAUACGGAGGAUCCGAGCGUUAUCCGGAUUUAUUGGGUUUAAAGGGAGCGUAGAUGGAUGUUUAAGUCAGUUGUGAAAGUUUGCGGCUCAACCGUAAAAUUGCAGUUGAUACUGGAUAUCUUGAGUGCAGUUGAGGCAGGCGGAAUUCGUGGUGUAGCGGUGAAAUGCUUAGAUAUCACGAAGAACUCCGAUUGCGAAGGCAGCCUGCUAAGCUGCAACUGACAUUGAGGCUCGAAAGUGUGGGUAUCAAACAGGAUUAGAUACCCUGGUAGUCCACACGGUAAACGAUGAAUACUCGCUGUUUGCGAUAUACGGCAAGCGGCCAAGCGAAAGCGUUAAGUAUUCCACCUGGGGAGUACGCCGGCAACGGUGAAACUCAAAGGAAUUGACGGGGGCCCGCACAAGCGGAGGAACAUGUGGUUUAAUUCGAUGAUACGCGAGGAACCUUACCCGGGCUUAAAUUGCAGAUGAAUUACGGUGAAAGCCGUAAGCCGCAAGGCAUCUGUGAAGGUGCUGCAUGGUUGUCGUCAGCUCGUGCCGUGAGGUGUCGGCUUAAGUGCCAUAACGAGCGCAACCCUUGUUGUCAGUUACUAACAGGUCAUGCUGAGGACUCUGACAAGACUGCCAUCGUUAGAUGUGAGGAAGGUGGGGAUGACGUCAAAUCAGCACGGCCCUUACGUCCGGGGCUACACACGUGUUACAAUGGGGGGUACAGAGGGCCGCUACCACGCGAGUGGAUGCCAAUCCCAAAAACCUCUCUCAGUUCGGACUGGAGUCUGCAACCCGACUCCACGAAGCUGGAUUCGCUAGUAAUCGCGCAUCAGCCACGGCGCGGUGAAUACGUUCCCGGGCCUUGCAC
Molecule: ribosomal RNA, 1357 nt
Filed under: uncultured bacterium
Lineage: Bacteria
Description: bacterial SSU rRNA
Rfam family: Bacterial small subunit ribosomal RNA
Source: RNAcentral